This 244-nucleotide long non-coding RNA is filed under the name Elaeis guineensis (African oil palm). RNAcentral describes it as "long non-coding RNA (EGUI_LNC009522)". The record is from RNAcentral. Lineage: Eukaryota; Viridiplantae; Streptophyta; Magnoliopsida; Arecales; Arecaceae.
CGUGCAGUAGUGGAUUAAACAUAUAAAAGCAACAAAGCAAGAAAUAAAAGUAAGCAAAGAGAGCAAGACAAUAAAGUAAGAAAAAAAUAAGGCACAAUAUAAAUAUAAAAAAAUUAUUGUAGUUCGGUACAACCCCACAUCUAUGUCUAAUUCCAAAUUUUUUUUUAGAAAUUUUACUAUAAUCAGCUUGAUUAUAGAGUGUUUAUUUUAUCCAAACUCACAUACAAAUCUAGUUGACUUUUCA